AUUGAACGCUGGCGGCAGGCCUAACACAUGCAAGUCGAGCGGAUGCAGGGAGCUUGCUCCUGGAUUCAGCGGCGGACUGGUGAGUAAUGCCUAGGAAUCUGCCUGUUAGUGGGUAUAACGUCCGGAACCGGGCGCUAAUACCGCAUACGUCCUGAGGGAGCAACGGGUGGAUCCUCGGACCUCACGCUAUCAGAUGAGCCUAGGUCGGAUUAGCUAGUUGGGGGGGUAAAGGCCUACCAAGGCGACGAUCCGUAACUGGUCUGAGAGGAUGAUCAGUCACACUGGAACUGAGACACGGUCCAGACUCCUACGGGAGGCAGCAGUGGGGAAUAUUGGACAAUGGGCGAAAGCCUGAUCCAGCCAUGCCGCGUGUGUGAAGAAGGUCUUCGGAUUGUAAAGCACUUUAAGUUGGGAGGAAGAGCAGUAAGUUAAUACCUCGCUGUUUUGACGUUACCAAAAGAAUAAGCACCGGCUAACUUCGUG
Molecule: ribosomal RNA, 483 nt
Filed under: uncultured bacterium
Lineage: Bacteria
Description: partial 16S ribosomal RNA
Rfam family: Bacterial small subunit ribosomal RNA
Source: RNAcentral